This 497-nucleotide ribosomal RNA is filed under the name uncultured bacterium. Its description in RNAcentral is "partial 16S ribosomal RNA". It matches the Rfam family "Bacterial small subunit ribosomal RNA", at positions 28 to 507 of the family's 1533-position model. The record is from RNAcentral.
GAUGAACGCUGGCGGCGUGCCUAAUACAUGCAAGUCGAGCGAACGGACGAGAAGCUUGCUUUUCUGAUGUUAGCGGCGGACGGGUGAGUAACACGUGGAUAACCUACCUAUAAGACUGGGAUAACUUCGGGAAACCGGAGCUAAUACCAGAUAAUAUUUUGAACCGCAUGGUUCAAAAGUGAAAGACGGUCUUGCUGUCACUUAUAGAUGGAUCCGCGCUGCAUUAGCUAGUUGGUAAGGUAACGGCUUACCAAGGCAACGAUGCAUAGCCGACCUGAGAGGGUGAUCGGCCACACUGGAACUGAGACACGGUCCAGACUCCUACGGGAGGCAGCAGUAGGGAAUCUUCCGCAAUGGGCGAAAGCCUGACGGAGCAACGCCGCGUGAGUGAUGAAGGUCUUCGGAUCGUAAAACUCUGUUAUUAGGGAAGAACACAUGUGUAAGUAACUGUGCACAUCUUGACGGUACCUAAUCAGAAAGCCACGGCUAACUACGUG